UUUAGAACGUCGUGAGACAGUUCGGUCCCUAUCUGCCGUGGGCGCUGGAGAACUGAGGGGGGCUGCUCCUAGUACGAGAGGACCGGAGUGGACGCAUCACUGGUGUUCGGGUUGUCAUGCCAAUGGCACUGCCCGGUAGCUAAAUGCGGAAGAGAUAAGUGCUGAAAGCAUCUAAGCACGAAACUUGCCCCGAGAUGAGUUCUCCCUGAGACUUWAAGUCUCCUGAAGGAACGUUGAAGACGACGACGUUGAUAGGCCGGGUGUGUAAGCGCAGCGAUGCGUUGAGCUAACCGGUACUAAUGAACCGUGAGGCUUAACCUU
Molecule: ribosomal RNA, 321 nt
Filed under: Salmonella enterica
Lineage: Bacteria; Pseudomonadati; Pseudomonadota; Gammaproteobacteria; Enterobacterales; Enterobacteriaceae
Description: partial 23S ribosomal RNA
Source: RNAcentral